This 72-nucleotide transfer RNA is filed under the name Camelus bactrianus (Bactrian camel). It matches the Rfam family "tRNA". Rfam says of the family: Transfer RNA (tRNA) molecules are approximately 80 nucleotides in length. Their secondary structure includes four short double-helical elements and three loops (D, anti-codon, and T loops). Lineage: Eukaryota; Metazoa; Chordata; Mammalia; Artiodactyla; Camelidae. The record is from Rfam by way of RNAcentral. RNAcentral also lists the same sequence under 2 other names.
AGGGAAAUAGUUCAGUGGUAGAGCACAUGCUUAGCAUGCAUGAGGUCCUGUGUUCAACCCCCAGUAUCUCCA